Molecule: ribosomal RNA, 167 nt
Filed under: Inocybaceae sp.
Lineage: Eukaryota; Fungi; Basidiomycota; Agaricomycetes; Agaricales; Inocybaceae
Description: partial large subunit ribosomal RNA
Rfam family: Eukaryotic large subunit ribosomal RNA
Source: RNAcentral
CGGGAAAAGCUCAAAUUUGAAAUCUGGCGGUCUUUGGCCGUCCGAGUUGUAAUCUAGAGAAGUUGUCACCUGUGCAGGACCGUGUAAAAGUCUCCUGGAACGGAGCAUCGUAGAGGGUGACAAUCCCGUCUUUGACACGGACUCCCUGCAUGCUGUGGUGCGCUCUC